GCCAGAAUAGCUCAGUUGGGAGAGCGUUAGACUGAAGUUGUUUACGCAACAGUCAUCUAAAGGCCCCCGGUUCAAUCCCGGGUUCCGGCA
This 90-nucleotide transfer RNA is filed under the name Dreissena polymorpha. It matches the Rfam family "tRNA". From Rfam's summary of the family: Transfer RNA (tRNA) molecules are approximately 80 nucleotides in length. Their secondary structure includes four short double-helical elements and three loops (D, anti-codon, and T loops). Lineage: Eukaryota; Metazoa; Mollusca; Bivalvia; Myida; Dreissenidae. The record is from Rfam by way of RNAcentral.